ACUAAUUUGAGUGUUUGAUCCUGGCUCAGGACGAACGCUGGCGGCGUGCCUAGUACAUGCAAGUCGAACGAUCUCUGGUAUCGAUUGGUGCUUGCAUCAUGAUAUACAUUUGAGUGAGUGGCGAACUGCUGAGUAACACGUGGGACACCUGCCCAGCAGCGGCGGAUAACACCUGGUAACAGAUGCUACUACCGCAUAACAACUUGGACCGCAUGGUCCGAGCUUGACAGAUGGCUUCGGCUAUCACUCUUGGAUGGUCCCGCGGCGUAUUAGCUAGAUGGUGUGGUAACGGCUCACCAUGGCAAUGAUACGUAGCCGACCUGAGAGGGUAAUCGGCCACAUUGGGACUGAGACACGGCCCAAACUCCUACGGGAGGCAGCAGUAGGGAAUCUUCCACAAUGGACGAAAGUCUGAUGGAGCAACGCCGCGUGAGUGAAGAAGGGUUUCGGCUCGUAAAACUCUGUUGUUAAAGAAGAACAUAUCUGAGAGUAACUGUUCAGGUAUUGACGGUAUUUAACCAGAAAGCCACGGCUAACUACGUGCCAGCAGCCGCGGUAAUACGUAGGUGGCCAGCGUUGUCCGGAUUUAUUGGGCGUAAAGCGAGCGCAGGCGGUGUAUUAAGUCUGAUGUGAAAGCCUUCGGCUCAACCGAAGAAGUGCAUCGGAAACUGGGAAACUUGAGUGCAGAAGAGGACAGUGGAACUCCAUGUGUAGCGGUGAAAUGCGUAGAUAUAUGGAAGAACACCAGUGGCGAAGGCGGCUGUCUGGUCUGUAACUGACGCUGAGGCUCGAAAGUAUGGGUAGCAAACAGGAUUAGAUACCCUGGUAGUCCAUACCGUAAACGAUGAAUGCUAAGUGUUGGAGGGUUUCCGCCCUUCAGUGCUGCAGCUAACGCAUUAAGCAUUCCGCCUGGGGAGUACGGCCGCAAGGCUGAAACUCAAAGGAAUUGACUCGGCUCCGCACAAGCGGUGGAGCAUGUGGUCUAAUUCGAAGCUACGCGAAGAACCUUACCAGGUCUUGACAUACUAUGCAAAUCUAAGAGAUUAGACGUUCCCUUCGGGGACACGGAUACAGGUGGUGCAUGGUAGUCGUCAGCUCGUGUCGUGAGAUGUUGGGUUAAGUCCCGCAACGAGCGCAACCCUUAUUAUCAGUUGCCAUAAUUAAGUUGGGCACUCUGGUGAGACUGCCGGUGACAAACUUGAGGAAGGU
Molecule: ribosomal RNA, 1209 nt
Filed under: Lactiplantibacillus plantarum
Lineage: Bacteria; Bacillati; Bacillota; Bacilli; Lactobacillales; Lactobacillaceae
Description: bacterial SSU rRNA
Rfam family: Bacterial small subunit ribosomal RNA
Source: RNAcentral